RNAcentral lists this ribosomal RNA (411 nucleotides) under Palpiphitime lobifera. Its description in RNAcentral is "partial 16S ribosomal RNA". It matches the Rfam family "Bacterial large subunit ribosomal RNA", at positions 1845 to 2580 of the family's 2925-position model. Lineage: Eukaryota; Metazoa; Annelida; Polychaeta; Eunicida; Dorvilleidae. The record is from RNAcentral.
AUAUAAAGUAACUCCUGCCCAGUGAAAUUUUAAACGGCCGCUUUAGUGCUAAGGUAGCAUAAUCACUUGCCCUUUAAUUGGGGGCUGGAAUGAAUGGAAUCACAUAAAUAUACUUUCUUUUUUACGCUUAUAAAAAUUAUUCUUUAUGUGAAAAAACAUAAAUAAAUUAAAAAGACCAAAAGACCCUACCGAGCUUGAAUUUAUAACCAUCUUUGUCAAUUAAAUUUUUAUUGGGGUGAUACUGGAUACCCAUCCUCUCUCUAUUUUAAUCUUAACUUAUUAAAUUUCGUUUUAGCUACCCUAGGGAUAACAGGCUACUCUUUUUUAAAAGUCCAAAUUUACAAAAAGACCCAGCACCUCGAUGUUGGCUUAAGAAUAUAUUAAGUGCAGCAGCUUAAUAAAAGGGCUUGU